AUUCAACUGAUAAGUCCCAAAUAGGACGAAAUGCGCGUCUUGGAU
Non-coding RNA from Schistosoma mansoni, 45 nucleotides. NCBI's taxonomy places the organism in Eukaryota, Metazoa, Platyhelminthes, Trematoda, Strigeidida, Schistosomatidae. The record is from Rfam.